ACUGCUGAGGAGUCCCACAAUAGGACGAAACGGCCGUCCAGU
This is a non-coding RNA of Schistosoma mansoni, 42 nucleotides long. The record is from Rfam. NCBI's taxonomy places the organism in Eukaryota, Metazoa, Platyhelminthes, Trematoda, Strigeidida, Schistosomatidae.